GAAAGAGAACAAAGGGGGGCACAUUUAGCCACUGCCCAACAUCUUUGUGGCACGCUGGUUGGCGUCAUCAAUCCGGGUCUUGUUGGAAUCAGCCU
Alosa sapidissima (American shad) is the source of this 95-nucleotide long non-coding RNA. RefSeq lists it as uncharacterized. The transcript is spliced from 4 exons. Lineage: Eukaryota; Metazoa; Chordata; Actinopteri; Clupeiformes; Clupeidae. The record is from RefSeq and is a predicted model, not a curated record.